This 449-nucleotide ribosomal RNA is filed under the name uncultured bacterium. Its description in RNAcentral is "bacterial SSU rRNA". It matches the Rfam family "Bacterial small subunit ribosomal RNA", at positions 335 to 796 of the family's 1533-position model. The record is from RNAcentral.
ACUCCUACGGGAGGCAGCAGUGGGGAAUAUUGCACAAUGGGCGCAAGCCUGAUGCAGCAACGCCGCGUGAGGGACGAAGGCCUUCGGGUUGUAAACCUCUUUUAGCAGGGAAGAAGCGAAAGUGACGGUACCUGCAGAAAAAGCGCCGGCUAACUACGUGCCAGCAGCCGCGGUAAUACGUAGGGCGCAAGCGUUGUCCGGAAUUAUUGGGCGUAAAGAGCUCGUAGGCGGUUUGUCGCGUCUGCUGUGAAAAUCCGAGGCUCAACCUCGGACCUGCAGUGGGUACGGGCAAACUAGAGUGCGGUAGGGGAGAUUGGAAUUCCUGGUGUAGCGGUGGAAUGCGCAGAUAUCAGGAGGAACACCAAUGGCGAAGGCAGAUCUCUGGGCCGUAACUGACGCUGAGGAGCGAAAGCGUGGGGAGCGAACAGGAUUAGAUACCCCAGUAGUCC